RNAcentral lists this non-coding RNA (95 nucleotides) under Bacillus sp. (in: firmicutes). RNAcentral's name for it is "Bacillus sp. c-di-GMP sequence". It matches the Rfam family "c-di-GMP-I riboswitch aptamer". Rfam says of the family: GEMM was predicted in a large-scale screen for bacterial structured RNA regulatory elements. Genes associated with GEMM are involved in a diverse array of functions, including chemotaxis regulation, signal transduction, secretion and chitin. The record is from RNAcentral. Lineage: Bacteria; Bacillati; Bacillota; Bacilli; Caryophanales; Bacillaceae.
CAUGGAAAAAGGCAAAACUAGUGAAAACUAGUGACGCAAAACUACAGGGACUUCAGUCUGUGUUUUAAGCACGGACCAGUUAGCCAGUUACCCGC